AUCUUAUAAUUGUAUUUUGUUAUAGGUGCUCCUGGGUCUCCUGAUUAUGGUAAAUCGCUAAAAUACUACAAUCAUCUUAAGAAGACGUUAUAUGAAAAUACAGCAGCUAUGGCAGAUUUUAGUGUUAGACUUUGGUGUGAAGGUAACAUUCAAGUUAUAAUGAAGGCACUAAAACUAACCUCAUAAAAUAAAUGCUUCAACUAUUAACACUAUUAAAAACAAUUGGAUAUAUCAAGCCUAUUAAUGAAAAUAUCAA
Molecule: long non-coding RNA, 256 nt
Organism: Melanaphis sacchari
Lineage: Eukaryota; Metazoa; Arthropoda; Insecta; Hemiptera; Aphididae
Exons: 3
Source: RefSeq, a predicted model, not a curated record